This 267-nucleotide long non-coding RNA is filed under the name Homo sapiens (human). Its description in RNAcentral is "HSALNT0127092". The record is from RNAcentral. Lineage: Eukaryota; Metazoa; Chordata; Mammalia; Primates; Hominidae.
AUAGAAUUUUUAAUUUUUGGUGUUCACAUGUUUAUUGCUAGCACAUAGAAAUAGAUUUUUGUAUGUUGAUCUUAUAUCCUGAAAACUUGCUAAACUCACUUGUUGGUUCUAGUUUUUUUGUAAAUUCCUUCAGAGUCUAUAUGAACAACCAUGUCAUCUACAAAUAAGGACAGUUGGAUUUCUUCCUUUUGAUCAUAUGCCUUUUGUUUCUUUAUCAUGCCUUAUUGCACUGACUAGAAGUUUCAGCGCCGUGUUGAAUAAGGGUGA